CGCUGAAGCCUGGUGCUUGCACCGGGUGGAUGAGUGGCGAACGGGUGAGUAACACGUGAGUAACCUGCCCCUGACUUCGGGAUAAGCCCGGGAAACUGGGUCUAAUACCGGAUACGACUGCCGGACGCAUGUCUGGUGGUGGAAAGUUUUUUCGGUUGGGGAUGGGCUCGCGGCCUAUCAGUUUGUUGGUGAGGUAAUGGCUCACCAAGACGACGACGGGUAGCCGGCCUGAGAGGGCGACCGGCCACACUGGGACUGAGACACGGCCCAGACUCCUACGGGAGGCAGCAGUGGGGAAUAUUGCACAAUGGGGGAAACCCUGAUGCAGCGACGCAGCGUGCGGGAUGACGGCCUUCGGGUUGUAAACCGCUUUCAGCAGGGAAGAAGCGCAAGUGACGGUACCUGCAGAAGAAGUACCGGCUAACUACGUGCCAGCAGCCGCGGUAAUACGUAGGGUACGAGCGUUGUCCGGAAUUAUUGGGCGUAAAGAGCUCGUAGGUGGUUGGUCACGUCUGCUGUGGAAACGCAACGCUUAACGUUGCGCGUGCAGUGGGUACGGGCUGACUAGAGUGCAGUAGGGGAGUCUGGAAUUCCUGGUGUAGCGGUGAAAUGCGCAGAUAUCAGGAGGAACACCGGUGGCGAAGGCGGGACUCUGGGCUGUAACUGACACUGAGGAGCGAAAGCAUGGGGAGCGAACAGGAUUAGAUACCCUGGUAGUCCAUGCCGUAAACGUUGGGCACUAGGUGUGGGGGGCAUUCCACGUUCUCCGCGCCGUAGCUAACGCAUUAAGUGCCCCGCCUGGGGAGUACGGUCGCAAGGCUAAAACUCAAAGGAAUUGACGGGGGCCCGCACAAGCGGCGGAGCAUGCGGAUUAAUUCGAUGCAACGCGAAGAACCUUACCAAGGCUUGACAUACACCGGACCGUCCUGGAAACAGGUCCUCUUCUUUGAAGCUGGUGUACAGGUGGUGCAUGGUUGUCGUCAGCUCGUGUCGUGAGAUGUUGGGUUAAGUCCCGCAACGAGCGCAACCCUCGUUCUAUGUUGCCAGCAUGUGAUGGUGGGAACUCAUAGGAGACUGCCGGGGUCACUCCGAGGAAAGUUGGGGAUGACGUCAAAUCAUCAUGCCCUU
This 1128-nucleotide ribosomal RNA is filed under the name uncultured bacterium. RNAcentral describes it as "bacterial SSU rRNA". It matches the Rfam family "Bacterial small subunit ribosomal RNA", at positions 65 to 1202 of the family's 1533-position model. The record is from RNAcentral.